Podarcis muralis (Common wall lizard) is the source of this 2187-nucleotide non-coding RNA. The record is from RefSeq and is a predicted model, not a curated record. Lineage: Eukaryota; Metazoa; Chordata; Lepidosauria; Squamata; Lacertidae.
AAACUAAGUCUGCCUUCUGGGAUCUGAUUGUGAACAGAAUCGUUCCCAAAUGUGGAAGAUUCUUUCCAGAGUGCUGUAUCGACCAAAACCAUCUGCCAGUCCUGAACGCUGAAAAACAUGCCGGUUCUCCAAGCAAAAUGAAUCCAACGGUGAAUCUACCCCAGUCAGAUGCGACAUUCAGAAAACUGUCCGUGAGCUCCCAACCCUCUAUCAUUUAUGACGGUUGUGCAACGGAUCCAGCAACAGGACUGCAGUACCUCUUUAACAGUAAAACGGGUGAAGUCCAGUGGCUAAACCAGAAGACCUCUACUAUGUAAUGUUUACUUCCUGCUAAUACCAACACUUCUCACAUCUCUUCUGUCUGACUGCCCCAGAUGUAUGGACAAAAUGGCUUUCAAACAAUUCACCUGGAAGUGGGAAGUUAUUGAUUAAACUAUCUGACCAUCUAAUAGUCAAUAAUGAAGUCUAUUUAUGGAAUUUGGGCAUUGAAAGUAAUGUUCUCAUUUUGAAUGUUUCCAUAGAAUUAUUUACCUGGCUUAUGUGGUUGUUAUAUGUGCUAUAAGUGCUUUGUUGCCAAAUACAAAAUCAUUUAUUUCCUUGAUUUUUUUGAAGUGUUUCUCCUUGAUUUGUUCAAUAAAUUGCCAAGGCCUGAAUAACAUUGGUGCCUUUGAUAGGAUUGGGGGUCAUCAUCAUCAUCAUCAUCAUCAUCAUUAUUAUUAGCUUUUCUUCUUUAUUUCUCCAAACCUCUAAAAUUAAAUCACCAAUUUUCAUAACAUUUAACACAGCUGUUCAUCCCCCUGCACCCUAAUAGGAUGCAGGUGAACUGGGAACAAGCCUGUGUUGUGGUAGCUCCCCUUUUCCAUUUAUUUAUUGCCAUUUAUAUCCCACCUUUUUCACUGCUCAUCACAAUCACCACCAUCUGGGCAUAGCCCUUCACCAGCCAGGAGACAGGGGGCAUUAUGGUCAAUACUGGGAAUUUUGGGGGAGCAGGUGGUGGAGUGUUCAAAGGCUUUUUGCAAUGGCAGAACAGCCUGCCGCCAUCUUUAAUUUGCCACAGAGUGGCCCCAUGGGAGUGAUGCUCGGAAAUAAUGUAUCAUCAUUCCAAAGGGGCCUUGUUGGAGGCGGGGAUAUGUUUAACCCCCCGAUAUUUACCGUAACUUCUAGAAGAUUCAGGAAAUGGCUGAAAACAGAAGAGAAUGGUAACUUCAGUCACUCUCACUAACAUGCUUUGAAAAAAGGCUCUCCCAAGCAAAAAAUGGGACACUAGGCAUAUGGUGAUUUACUAGGGGCAAGUACCAGAAAGCAGGGACAGUCCUGGUAAAUAGAGACCAAUGGAGCAUAUAUUUAAAAUGCCAUAAUAAUUUACUCACCAGUGAAAUCAGAGCUUUGCCUUUAAUGACAAGCUGCCCAUGGACCAAAGGUCAUGAUGCUUAGACAAACAAUAAGAUAAAUCAACUGGGCGCAACUUUUUAAUAUUGUUGAGUGAUGUUUGCACACUUGAGUGCAGUUGGGAUUUUGUUUUUAAGCAAUCAACCAAGCCAUCCAUUAUUAUAGAUGCAAAAUAGUUCUUGGUUGAGAGGAUAUGAUAAUAAACAUAUAUCACUAACACACACUUCCAUGACUUGUUUACAUUCUGGUCUGCAAAAGAACAAGCCUGAUUAACGGGGUAAACGCUGGCCUUUUUUCUAUUAUCUGAUCUGGUGCCUUUUUCUUUCUGGCGAUGUCAUAACACAACCCGGUUGUAUAUUUUAAAAAGAUGUCAUUCUGUUUAUUUGCAGCUUUUCAAUCUAUUGAAUUAAUUGAAAAAGACCUACCUGUCAUUUCCCCUGCACAUUCCUAUGAUGUAUUAUGGUAGGAAACUUUCCCCAACUGCCUGGGAAAUGUUUCAGAAAGGAGAAAUGAAUAAGGCCCAAAUGCAGAAUUCAGCAGCCAGCUGGUGGCUGAUAGACCACAACCAGACCCACCUCCCUUCCCCAUUGCUUCCAGUAUACCACCCUGCGCUAGAGUGGAAGCACAAGGUAUGGCACCACAUCUCACCCAGUGGGUGUCUGCAAAUAUCUGAGAGAUGCAUAUCUACAGAUGUUGCUGUUACUCAAGGUCAGUGAAAGUUUUUCUGUGUGCUUCUUGGCAUAGUUAAUUGUCUCUAUCUGCCUUUGGCUAGGGCAAUAUUUUCAUACCUUCGGUUAA